GCCCAAGGACAUCAUCAGAGGACAUUGGUAGCUUUGCAGUAACCUGCCUUGGUUGCUUACAUGUUCCCUGACCUACAUGUUUGCAAAUCCACAUAAUGUUUCUUGGUCAUGCAGGUUCCUAUAAAUGAUGUCUGUUCGCAGAAGGAGUGGAAGCUGGUGGAGAAUCUGCUGAUUAGGCCCAAGAUGUGGUGAAUGAAAAGCUGAAUCUUUUCAUAUUGGAUUUUCUGAAGAGGCUAGCCUCAGCAGAGAUUUUCCCAGAUUCCUCAACUUUGCCGAGGCUUAAGGACUAACUCUCCCUGCCUGGGUUGAGCCAGGGGCUGGGAGAAAUUACUUAGAGCUUGGGCUAGAUAUCUUACCCUAUCCUCUCUCUGAAUUUCUAACUUCAC
RNAcentral lists this long non-coding RNA (386 nucleotides) under Monodelphis domestica (gray short-tailed opossum). Its description in RNAcentral is "lncRNA (ENSMODG00000035118.2)". The record is from RNAcentral. Lineage: Eukaryota; Metazoa; Chordata; Mammalia; Didelphimorphia; Didelphidae.